UACGUAGGGGGCGAGCGUUGUCCGGAUUUAUUGGGCGUAAAGAGCGUGUAGGCGGCCAGACAAGUCUGCUGUGAAAACUCGAGGCUCAACCUCGAGCUGUCGGUGGAAACUGUCUGGCUAGAGUCCGGAAGAGGAGAGUGGAAUUCCUGGUGUAGCGGUGAAAUGCGCAGAUAUCAGGAAGAACACCCGUGGCGAAGGCGGUUCUCUGGGACGGUACUGACGCUGAGACGCGAAAGCGUGGGAGCGAACAGG
This 252-nucleotide ribosomal RNA is filed under the name uncultured bacterium. RNAcentral's name for it is "partial 16S ribosomal RNA". It matches the Rfam family "Bacterial small subunit ribosomal RNA", at positions 524 to 776 of the family's 1533-position model. The record is from RNAcentral.